UCGACGAUGAUCCCAGCUUGCUGGGGGAUUAGUGGCGAACGGGUGAGUAACACGUGAGUAACCUGCCCUUGACUCUGGGAUAAGCCUGGGAAACUGGGUCUAAUACCGGAUAUGACUCCUCAUCGCAUGGUGGGGGGUGGAAAGCUUUUGUGGUUUUGGACGGACUCGCGGCCUAUCAGCUUGUUGGUGGGGUAAUGGCCUACCAAGGCGACGACGGGUAGCCGGCCUGAGAGGGUGACCGGCCACACUGGGACUGAGACACGGCCCAGACUCCUACGGGAGGCAGCAGUGGGGAAUAUUGCACAAUGGGCGCAAGCCUGAUGCAGCGACGCCGCGUGAGGGAUGACGGCCUUCGGGUUGUAAACCUCUUUCAGUAGGGAAGAAGCGUAAGUGACGGUACCUGCAGAAGAAGCGCCGGCUAACUACGUGCCAGCAGCCGCGGUAAUACGUAGGGCGCAAGCGUUAUCCGGAAUUAUUGGGCGUAAAGAGCUCGUAGGCGGUUUGUCGCGUCUGCUGUGAAAGACCGGGGCUCAACUCCGGUUCUGCAGUGGGUACGGGCAGACUAGAGUGCAGUAGGGGAGACUGGAAUUCCUGGUGUAGCGGUGAAAUGCGCAGAUAUCAGGAGGAACACCGAUGGCGAAGGCAGGUCUCUGGGCUGUAACUGACGCUGAGGAGCGAAAGCAUGGGGAGCGAACAGGAUUAGAUACCCUGGUAGUCCAUGCCGUAAACGUUGGGCACUAGGUGUGGGGGACAUUCCACGUUUUCCGCGCCGUAGCUAACGCAUUAAGUGCCCCGCCUGGNGAGUACGGCCGCAAGGCUAANNNNNNAAGGAAUUGACGGGNNNNNNCACAAGCGGC
Molecule: ribosomal RNA, 857 nt
Filed under: uncultured bacterium
Lineage: Bacteria
Description: bacterial SSU rRNA
Rfam family: Bacterial small subunit ribosomal RNA
Source: RNAcentral